Molecule: ribosomal RNA, 255 nt
Filed under: uncultured bacterium
Lineage: Bacteria
Description: partial 16S ribosomal RNA
Rfam family: Bacterial small subunit ribosomal RNA
Source: RNAcentral
UACGAAGGUGGCAAGCGUUACUCGGAAUUACUAGGCGUAAAGGGCAGGUAGGUGGUUUGGUUAGUCUGUUGUGAAAGCUCCUUGCUUAACGGGGAGAGGUCAACAGAUACUGCCAGACUUGAGUAUGGGAGAGGUUACUGGAAUUCCUGGAUGUAGCGGUGAAAUGCGCAGAGAUCAGGAGGAACACCGAUGGCGAAAGCAGGUAACUGGACCAUUACUGACACUCAGCUGACGAAAGCUAGGGGAGCAAACAGG